Molecule: transfer RNA, 69 nt
Filed under: Marmota monax (woodchuck)
Lineage: Eukaryota; Metazoa; Chordata; Mammalia; Rodentia; Sciuridae
Description: tRNA.Ile
Source: RNAcentral
GAUUUAGCUCAGUUGGUUGAGUGUCUGCCUAAUACGCACAAGGCCUGGUUUUAAUCUCCAGCACCAUCA